CCUACGGGAGGCAGCAGUGAGGAAUAUUGGUCAAUGGGCUUACGCCUGAACCAGCCAAGUCGCGUGAGGGAAGACUGCCCUAUGGGUUGUAAACCUCUUUUGUCAGGGAGCAACGCCGGCUACGUGUAGCCGGACUGAGAGUACCUGAAGAAAAAGCAUCGGCUAACUCCGUGCCAGCAGCCGCGGUAAUACGGAGGAUGCGAGCGUUAUCCGGAUUGAUUGGGUUUAAAGGGUGCGUAGGCGGAAUGCCAAGUCAGCGGUAAAAUCGCGGGGCUCAACCUCGCUCCGCCGUUGAAACUGGCGUUCUUGAGUGGGCGAGAAGUAUGCGGAAGGCGUGGUGUAGCGGUGAAAUGCAUAGAUAUCACGCAGAACUCCGAUUGCGAAGGCAGCAUACCGGCGCCCAACUGACGCUGAAGCACGAAAGCGUGGGUAUCGAACAGGAUUAGAUACCCUAGUAGUC
RNAcentral lists this ribosomal RNA (460 nucleotides) under uncultured bacterium. RNAcentral's name for it is "partial 16S ribosomal RNA". It matches the Rfam family "Bacterial small subunit ribosomal RNA", at positions 338 to 795 of the family's 1533-position model. The record is from RNAcentral.